CAGCAGCCGCGGGAAAACCGAGGGUGCGAGCGUUAAUCGGAAUUACUGGGCGUAAAGCGUGCGUAGGUGGUGGUUUAAGUCCGUUGUGAAAGCCCUGGGCUCAACCUGGGAAUUGCAGUGGAUACUGGGUCACUAGAGUGUGGUAGAGGAUAGUGGAAUUUCCGGUGUAGCAGUGAAAUGCGUAGAGAUCGGAAGGAACAUCUGUGGCGAAGGCGACUAUCUGGGCCAACACUGACACUGAGGCACGAAAGCGUGGGGAGCAAACAGGAUUAGAUACCCCUGUAGUCCCUGUCUCUUAUAC
RNAcentral lists this ribosomal RNA (301 nucleotides) under uncultured bacterium. RNAcentral's name for it is "partial 16S ribosomal RNA". It matches the Rfam family "Bacterial small subunit ribosomal RNA", at positions 509 to 807 of the family's 1533-position model. The record is from RNAcentral.